This 29-nucleotide non-coding RNA is filed under the name Homo sapiens (human). Lineage: Eukaryota; Metazoa; Chordata; Mammalia; Primates; Hominidae. The record is from RNAcentral.
UGCCAUGGAAAGGAGCAGUAAUUCCUGCA